Molecule: ribosomal RNA, 253 nt
Filed under: uncultured bacterium
Lineage: Bacteria
Description: partial 16S ribosomal RNA
Rfam family: Bacterial small subunit ribosomal RNA
Source: RNAcentral
UACGAAGGGGGCUAGCGUUGUUCGGAAUUACUGGGCGUAAAGGGCGCGUAGGCGGUACUUCAAGUCAGGCGUGAAAGCCCCGGGCUCAACCUGGGAACCGCGCUUGAGACUGGAGAACUAGAGUUCGGGAGAGGAUGGUGGGAUUCCACGUGUAGCAGUGAAAUGCGUAGAGAUGUGGAGGAACACCGAUGGCGAAGGCAGCCCCCUGGGCUGAGAUUGACGCUCAGGCACGAAAGCGUGGGGAGCAAACAGG